AAAACUUCACCAGUGGAUCCGGAGACACCCUAUUGCCUGCUUAUAUAAACAAAUGAGAAGACCCCACCCUCGCCCAUCCCAGCCAUGAGUUCACUACACCACAGUCUAGCAUCCACCGGCAACUCUGGGCAGGUUUUUUUUUUCUUUUUUUGGCAGGGGCGUGGGGAGAUGGGGAACGUUCCCCACUCCCAAAGCAUCUGCGUGCACCGAAAUCCCAGCCAGAAGAGUGAACGGCGCCGCCCCGCUUUUCACCCGCCUGAUCUCCACCCCAGGUUGGCCUCUCUGCCUCUCUUCUCCUCAGUCCCCCUUCUCCGCAACUUUCCACUCCUCUCCCACUCUGUUUGGCAGCAAAGAUGCCCCCGGUCUCUGCUCUGUUUGGAAGCAGAGGGAAGUCUAUUUUUUUUUUCUGCACAAAACCAGCAAUUGUAUAUACUUUUGAAGAAAAGAAAAAAUGUAAAAAAAAAAAAAAAAACCACAAAAAAAAUCUAAAACAAAAAACCCACACACACGGAAAAAAAAUUAAAAAUGAAUAAUCAAAAAAAAAUUGUUGAGAGGCAAAUAUGCAGGAGAAAGAAGCAAAAACCCACCAGUAUGCACUGAGAAAAUUUAUUUACAGAUCGAUCGACAAAAAAAAAAAGUAACAAUAACCUAUUUAUUGUAUAUACUGUUUUAUUAUAAAUCGUGUCUUGUAUAUUGCAUUCUGUACAUCUGCUGUGGUUUGUGAUGUGCAAAUUCCGCAUGGUUUCAUUGGGUUUCGGUUGCCUUUUUUAUGACAACGAUGACUUUAGUUUUAUUUUUAUUAUUAUUAAUAAUAAUUUUUUUGGCAGGACACACCCAAAGAUCCAAAUUUGUAUAAAAAAAAAAAAGGAAGAAAAAGAUU
Chelonoidis abingdonii (Abingdon island giant tortoise) is the source of this 880-nucleotide non-coding RNA. Lineage: Eukaryota; Metazoa; Chordata; Testudines; Testudinidae. The record is from RefSeq and is a predicted model, not a curated record.